This 91-nucleotide ribosomal RNA is filed under the name Hucho hucho (huchen). The record is from RNAcentral. Lineage: Eukaryota; Metazoa; Chordata; Actinopteri; Salmoniformes; Salmonidae.
UGCAGCAGCAUACCACCCUGCAUCCCACUGCUGGCUUGCCUCUGAAGCUAAGCAGGGUGGGUCCUGGAUGGGAGACCAGAUGCUGCUGGAA